Sarcophilus harrisii (Tasmanian devil) is the source of this 249-nucleotide long non-coding RNA. RefSeq lists it as uncharacterized. The record is from RefSeq and is a predicted model, not a curated record. The transcript is spliced from 2 exons. NCBI's taxonomy places the organism in Eukaryota, Metazoa, Chordata, Mammalia, Dasyuromorphia, Dasyuridae.
UUUUUUCAGAGUCAUUGUGAUUCAACGAUGAUGCUAUAUGGCUAUGAAUCAUGGAAAAUUGUGAUCUCUAAAGCAUCAAAAUAUGAGCACUGGGAAAACUGACAAUGCUUGAAAAAAUGUUUCUCCUGGGAAAGAAACAGAGUAAAAUGUUCCAGAUGACUGUGGUGAAUACACAAUUCCCAAUAAAGUCAAGAAGAGGCAUGAGGUAUAAAGAUAGAUGAGAAAACUGAGUAAAGUAAGAGAUCAAUU